GCGGGCGUAGCUCAAUGGCUAGAGUCUCUGCCUUCCAAGCAGACUGUUAUGGGUUCGAGUCCCAUCGCCCGCUCCA
RNAcentral lists this transfer RNA (76 nucleotides) under Candidatus Altimarinota bacterium. RNAcentral describes it as "tRNA-Gly". It matches the Rfam family "tRNA". From Rfam's summary of the family: Transfer RNA (tRNA) molecules are approximately 80 nucleotides in length. Their secondary structure includes four short double-helical elements and three loops (D, anti-codon, and T loops). The record is from RNAcentral. Lineage: Bacteria; Candidatus Altimarinota.